RNAcentral lists this ribosomal RNA (497 nucleotides) under uncultured bacterium. Its description in RNAcentral is "partial 16S ribosomal RNA". It matches the Rfam family "Bacterial small subunit ribosomal RNA", at positions 28 to 507 of the family's 1533-position model. The record is from RNAcentral.
GAUGAACGCUGGCGGCAUGCCUAAUACAUGCAAGUCGAGCGAACAGACGAGGAGCUUGCUCCUCUGACGUUAGCGGCGGACGGGUGAGUAACACGUGGAUAACCUACCUAUAAGACUGGGAUAACUUCGGGAAACCGGAGCUAAUACCGGAUAAUAUAUUGAACCGCAUGGUUCAAUAGUGAAAGACGGUUUUGCUGUCACUUAUAGAUGGAUCCGCGCCGCAUUAGCUAGUUGGUAAGGUAACGGCUUACCAAGGCAACGAUGCGUAGCCGACCUGAGAGGGUGAUCGGCCACACUGGAACUGAGACACGGUCCAGACUCCUACGGGAGGCAGCAGUAGGGAAUCUUCCGCAAUGGGCGAAAGCCUGACGGAGCAACGCCGCGUGAGUGAUGAAGGUCUUCGGAUCGUAAAACUCUGUUAUUAGGGAAGAACAAAUGUGUAAGUAACUAUGCACGUCUUGACGGUACCUAAUCAGGAAGCCACGGCUAACUACGUG